GGAUGUGAGGGCGAUCUGGCUGUGACAUCUGUAACUCCCUUGAUAGCUAGGGUUGAUUCAGCUGAUCUGGCCAGCCAGGCGGGUGUCCCCUCCCUCACCCCUCCACGUGCGUCCCUCCGGAAGCUGCGGGCUCGGUCGAAGAGUAGGACCUUCCCCGUUAGAGAAGGACCAGUCCUCAGUCAAGGGUAUAUGAGUAGCUGCGCUCCCCUGCUAGAACCUCCAAACAAGCUCUCAAAAAAAGAUAUGCAAAGGAAAAAACCAACAGCAGGGGGAAAGAACUUUUUUCUAGGCUUCCC
This 296-nucleotide small nuclear RNA is filed under the name Dasypus novemcinctus (nine-banded armadillo). RNAcentral's name for it is "7SK RNA (ENSDNOG00000029370.2)". It matches the Rfam family "7SK RNA". From Rfam's summary of the family: 7SK was discovered as an abundant small nuclear RNA in the mid-70s but a possible function has only recently been suggested. The record is from RNAcentral. Lineage: Eukaryota; Metazoa; Chordata; Mammalia; Cingulata; Dasypodidae.